Salmo salar (Atlantic salmon) is the source of this 58-nucleotide non-coding RNA. The record is from Rfam. Lineage: Eukaryota; Metazoa; Chordata; Actinopteri; Salmoniformes; Salmonidae.
UGGCUCAGUUGGUAGAGCAUGGUGUUUGCAACGCCAGGGUUGUGGGUUCGAUUACCAC